GUCCUAGCCGUAAACGGUGCACGUUUGCUGUAAAAGGAAUCGACCCCUUUUGUGGCGUAGCCAACGCGUUAAACGUGCCGCCUGGGAAGUACGGUCGCAAGAUUAAAACUCAAAGAAAUUGACGGGGCCUGCACAAGCGGUGGAGUAUGUGGCUCAAUUCGAUGCAACGCGAAGAACCUUACCUGGCCUUGACAUGCAAGUAGUAGAAGGGUGAAAGCCCGACGAGGUAGCAAUACCAGCUUGCACAGGUGCUGCAUGGCUGUCGU
RNAcentral lists this ribosomal RNA (266 nucleotides) under uncultured bacterium. RNAcentral's name for it is "partial 16S ribosomal RNA". It matches the Rfam family "Bacterial small subunit ribosomal RNA", at positions 793 to 1055 of the family's 1533-position model. The record is from RNAcentral.